Molecule: long non-coding RNA, 199 nt
Filed under: Carica papaya (papaya)
Lineage: Eukaryota; Viridiplantae; Streptophyta; Magnoliopsida; Brassicales; Caricaceae
Description: long non-coding RNA (CPAP_LNC011029)
Source: RNAcentral
GGCACUUCCUCGGGUAGCAAAUCUGCAAAAUCAUUCAAAACACCAACAAUUUCUAAAGGCAAAUCGUUAGGUAACUCAUUAGUAACCAAACAAGUUUCAUGGUACAAAAGCAUAAUCACUGGUUUGUGAGAAUUCAUGGCCCUAUCUACAUCUCUCAUGCUAGCAAAGAAAGUGCCUUUUUUUUCACUUGCUUUUGGUU